CUUGACUGUAGCCUGGAAUUGGGUUUGGGCUUUUCUUGCGCAGCCUAGGUGGGAGGCUAUGAAGAUUUCCUUCCGGGGAAGUUGGAGCCAACAGUGAGAGACCACUCUGGAAAGGCUAGAAUCCUCAUGGUGAUCCUUGAAUCAGGACACUUGACAGUUUCAGGCGGGCAGUUUCUCUGGGGCGGAGACCUCAUAAAAGGUAACUGAGGCGCGCAAAGGUUCCCUCAGUCUGGACGGAAAUCAGACAGCGAGUGUAAAGGCAAAAGGGAGCUUGACUGCAAGACCAACAAGUCGAGCAGGAGCGAAAGCUGGCCUUAGUGAUCCGACGGUGCCGCGUGGAAGGGCCGUCGCUCAACGAAUAAAAGUUA
This 368-nucleotide ribosomal RNA is filed under the name uncultured organism. Its description in RNAcentral is "bacterial LSU rRNA". It matches the Rfam family "Bacterial large subunit ribosomal RNA", at positions 2099 to 2465 of the family's 2925-position model. The record is from RNAcentral.